UACGGGGGGGGGGCAAGCGUUGUUCGGAAUUACUGGGCGUAAAGGGCGCGUAGGCGGCCUUCUAAGUCGGACGUGAAAUCCCUCGGCUUAACCGAGGAACUGCGUCCGAUACUGAAAGGCUUGAAUCCGGGAGAGGGAUGUGGAAUUCCAGGUGUAGCGGUGAAAUGCGUAGAUAUCUGGAGGAACACCGGUGGCGAAGGCGGCAUCCUGGACCGGUAUUGACGCUGAGGCGCGAAAGCUAGGGGAGCAA
Molecule: ribosomal RNA, 250 nt
Filed under: uncultured bacterium
Lineage: Bacteria
Description: partial 16S ribosomal RNA
Rfam family: Bacterial small subunit ribosomal RNA
Source: RNAcentral